GUGGGGAAUCUUGCGCAAUGGGCGCAAGCCUGAUCCAGCCAUACCGCGUGGGUGAAGAAGGCCUUCGGGUUGUAAAGCCCUUUUGUUGGGAAAGAAAUCCUGUCGGUUAAUACCUGGCGGGGAUGACGGUACCCAAAGAAUAAGCACCGGCUAACUUCGUGCCAGCAGCCGCGGUAAUACGAAGGGUGCAAGCGUUACUCGGAAUUACUGGGCGUAAAGCGUGCGUAGGUGGUGGUUUAAGUCCGUUGUGAAAGCCCUGGGCUCAACCUGGGAAUUGCAGUGGAUACUGGAUCACUAGAGUGUGGUAGAGGGAUGCGGAAUUUCUGGUGUAGCAGUGAAAUGCGUAGAGAUCAGAAGGAACAUCCGUGGCGAAGGCGGCAUCCUGGGCCAACACUGACACUGAGGCACGAAAGCGUGGGGAGCAAACAGGAUUAGAUACCCUUGUAGUCC
RNAcentral lists this ribosomal RNA (450 nucleotides) under uncultured bacterium. RNAcentral's name for it is "partial 16S ribosomal RNA". It matches the Rfam family "Bacterial small subunit ribosomal RNA", at positions 354 to 796 of the family's 1533-position model. The record is from RNAcentral.